UUGCGGGGGCAGUGCCGGCUGCGGAGGGAAACACUUCGCUCUCCGCGCUCCGGGACCGGCGCCUGCCGCGGUGCGGAUGCGUAUGGAGGAAUCCUCGUGAAAACAGCUCCCGACGUUUCCCCCCUCAAAAAAACCCAAACCCAAACAAACCACCCACUUGGAUAAUUAAAACGGUUUUUGGCAGUAACCAGUGUUGCUAAGGCUGACUGAAUUCCUACUACCAGUCCUAUUCCCAGAGGUAGCUUCUCCAAGGUGAUUCCUGACACAGGAGAUGGAAAGGCAGGCUUGCUGCAGCAGCCUUCAGCUGGCAAGGAACUUCCCUUACAAACCUUGUCCCAGGGAUGCACUGUGCCUUUAGGAGCCUUAGGAAGACUUAUUGGCAGGAAAGAAUUUAAGAACACCACGAAUCAGGUGAAAGUGUCCCUCUACCCUUCCUUCUCUGUUGGGACAUGGGAGUUCAAGAUCAAAAUACACAUCCCCUACCAGAUCCAAGUAGAAGCUCCUCUUUCUUAAAUGGGAUUUUUUUAAUCCAAAGCAGCAAUAUUUCCCUCUACUCAUACUUAAUAUGAUGGAUGAAGCUAAUUGUCUUUAGUACAUCACUUGGUCAGUAUCUAAAGACACACAUUAGGAAGUCACAUUAGGAGGGAUUUGUACAAUUUUAUAAAGCCCCAUAAAAAUUUUUAGAUCCAAUUGGCUUGCAGGUCAGAGUGUCCAACAGAGCAAGAGACACCUGCUGGCAAGUGAAGUGUUCCAUUUCAAAGCUGCCUGAAGCCUGGUGGAAGGUGGAAAAGUAGGAGCUUUCUCUGCCCUGGCACAAUUUUGUGAUUACUUAAAGCACAAAGGCUGCUAUUGCUGCCUGUAGCAGUUUAAAUGCCCUAAAUUCAAUCCCUGGCUUAUUUUGCUGUCUGAUUACUGUUACUGUUUUUUAAUUAAGACACAUUUUGCUAAUGAACCCACACAGAAAAAAAGCAAACACCUUCUCCCACCCUUCUCAGUACCUUCAGAAAACCUGUAUUCAAAAGCAGUACUUAAACACUGAUCAGCAAGUUUUUCUCCCCACCAAUGCUAAAAGCAAUAUAUAUAUUAAAAAAAAAAAAAAAGGAAAGAAAACAGAAAAAGAAAACAGAAAAAGAAAACAGAAAAAGAAAACAGAAAAAGAAAACAGAAAAAGAAAACAGAAAAAGAAAACAGAAAAAGAAAACAGAAAAAGAAAACAGAAAAAGAGAAAACAGAAAAAGAGAAAACAGAAAAAGAGAAAACAGAAAAAGAGAAAACAGAAAAAGAGAAAACAGAAAAAGAAAAAGAAAACAGAAAAAGAGAAAACAGAAAAAGAAAAAGAAAACAGAAAAAGAAAAAGAAAACAGAAAAAGAAAAAGAAAACAGAAAAAGAAAAAGAAAACAGAAAAAGAAAAAGAAAACAGAAAAAGAAAAAGAAAACAGAAAAAGAAAAAGAAAACAGAAAAAGGCCCAAAAAUCAAGAGCUGUACAUUUCUAGCACCUCAAUCUACAUUCAGAACCCCAAACAGAAGACCGAUGAUGCCUUUCUCAAAGGUAACUGCUACGGGUAAA
This 1569-nucleotide long non-coding RNA is filed under the name Serinus canaria (Common canary). Its description in RNAcentral is "lncRNA (ENSSCAG00000011964.1)". Lineage: Eukaryota; Metazoa; Chordata; Aves; Passeriformes; Fringillidae. The record is from RNAcentral.